This 492-nucleotide ribosomal RNA is filed under the name uncultured bacterium. Its description in RNAcentral is "partial 16S ribosomal RNA". It matches the Rfam family "Bacterial small subunit ribosomal RNA", at positions 28 to 507 of the family's 1533-position model. The record is from RNAcentral.
GAUGAACGCUAGCUACAGGCUUAACACAUGCAAGUCGAGGGGAAACGACAUCGAAAGCUUGCUUUUGAUGGGCGUCGACCGGCGCACGGGUGAGUAACGCGUAUCCAACCUGCCCAUCACUUGGGAAUAACCUUGCGAAAGUAAGACUAAUACCCAAUGAUAUCCCACGAAGGCAUCGGAAUGGGAUUCAAGAUUUAUCGGUGAUGGAUGGGGAUGCGUCUGAUUAGCUUGUUGGCGGGGUAACGGCCCACCAAGGCAACGAUCAGUAGGGGUUCUGAGAGGAAGGUCCCCCACAUUGGAACUGAGACACGGUCCAAACUCCUACGGGAGGCAGCAGUGAGGAAUAUUGGUCAAUGGGCGAGAGCCUGAACCAGCCAAGUAGCGUGCAGGAAGACGGCCCUAUGGGUUGUAAACUGCUUUUAUAAGGGAAUAAAGUGGGUCACGUGUGACUUUUUGCAUGUACCUUAUGAAUAAGGACCGGCUAAUUCCGUG